CCCUUAGAUGUUCUGGGCUGCACGCGCGCUACACUGAAGCUAUCAACACGUUUUCCCUCCCUGAGAAGGGCGGGUAACCUUUUGAAUCAGCUUCGUGGUAGGGAUCGGGGCUUGCAAUUGUUCCCCGUGAACCAGGAAUUCCUAGUAGACGCGAGUCAUAAGCUCGCAUCGAUUAAGUCCCUGCCCUUUGUACACACCGCCCGUCGCUACUACCGAUUGAACGUUUUAGUGAGGCAUUUGGACCGACGCAUCUCAGUUUAACCGCUGGUUUGUGUUGGAAAGACUUCCAAACUUGAGCGUUUAGAGGAAGUAAAAGACGUAACA
This 324-nucleotide ribosomal RNA is filed under the name uncultured eukaryote. RNAcentral's name for it is "partial 18S ribosomal RNA". It matches the Rfam family "Eukaryotic small subunit ribosomal RNA", at positions 1470 to 1796 of the family's 1831-position model. The record is from RNAcentral.